Molecule: ribosomal RNA, 432 nt
Filed under: uncultured bacterium
Lineage: Bacteria
Description: partial 16S ribosomal RNA
Rfam family: Bacterial small subunit ribosomal RNA
Source: RNAcentral
AACGAACGCUGGCGGCAUGCCUAACACAUGCAAGUCGAACGAGACCUUCGGGUCUAGUGGCGCACGGGUGCGUAACGCGUGGGAACCUGCCCUUAGGUUCGGAAUAACUCCCCGAAAGGGGUGCUAAUACCGGAUAAUGUCUUCGGACCAAAGAUUUAUCGCCUUUGGAUGGGCCCGCGUUGGAUUAGCUAGUUGGUAGGGUAAAAGCCUACCAAGGCGACGAUCCAUAGCUGGUCUGAGAGGAUGAUCAGCCACACUGGGACUGAGACACGGCCCAGACUCCUACGGGAGGCAGCAGUGGGGAAUAUUCGACAAUGGGCGAAAGCCUGAUCCAGCAAUGCCGCGUGAGUGAUGAAGGCCUUAGGGUUGUAAAGCUCUUUUACCCGGGAUGAUAAGGACAGGACCGGGAGAAGAAGCUCCGGCUAACUCCGU